UCGAUGACUACUGCUUCAAGCUUUUUUGCUCAUUUAUUCGACUUAUCUACUACACUUUUUUCUUUUUGCAUUUUUUCAUGUUUUGUUCUUUUUUCUUUGAGACUCGAUUUUCAAUUGUCUCCUUCCUUUUUUAGAUUUUUUUUAAUGAUAAAAACUAUACAUAAAACUACUAAGGGAGACUUGAUAAUCCUGCAAUUACACAACUUAGCAACCCUAGACUACUAGAUUCGACUGAGUUACAUGUCAG
RNAcentral lists this long non-coding RNA (247 nucleotides) under Linum usitatissimum (flax). RNAcentral's name for it is "long non-coding RNA (LUSI_LNC003646)". The record is from RNAcentral. Lineage: Eukaryota; Viridiplantae; Streptophyta; Magnoliopsida; Malpighiales; Linaceae.